This 697-nucleotide ribosomal RNA is filed under the name Micromonospora aurantiaca (nom. illeg.). RNAcentral describes it as "bacterial SSU rRNA". It matches the Rfam family "Bacterial small subunit ribosomal RNA", at positions 75 to 789 of the family's 1533-position model. The record is from RNAcentral. Lineage: Bacteria; Bacillati; Actinomycetota; Actinomycetes; Micromonosporales; Micromonosporaceae.
GCCCUUCGGGGUACUCGAGCGGCGAACGGGUGAGUAACACGUGAGCAACCUGCCCCAGGCUUUGGGAUAACCCCGGGAAACCGGGGCUAAUACCGAAUAUGACCUCUGACCGCAUGGUUGGUGGUGGAAAGUUUUUCGGCUUGGGAUGGGCUCGCGGCCUAUCAGCUUGUUGGUGGGGUGAUGGCCUACCAAGGCGACGACGGGUAGCCGGCCUGAGAGGGCGACCGGCCACACUGGGACUGAGACACGGCCCAGACUCCUACGGGAGGCAGCAGUGGGGAAUAUUGCACAAUGGGCGGAAGCCUGAUGCAGCGACGCCGCGUGAGGGAUGACGGCCUUCGGGUUGUAAACCUCUUUCAGCAGGGACGAAGCGUAAGUGACGGUACCUGCAGAAGAAGCGCCGGCCAACUACGUGCCAGCAGCCGCGGUAAGACGUAGGGCGCGAGCGUUGUCCGGAUUUAUUGGGCGUAAAGAGCUCGUAGGCGGCUUGUCGCGUCGACCGUGAAAACUUGGGGCUCAACCCCAAGCCUGCGGUCGAUACGGGCAGGCUAGAGUUCGGUAGGGGAGACUGGAAUUCCUGGUGUAGCGGUGAAAUGCGCAGAUAUCAGGAGGAACACCGGUGGCGAAGGCGGGUCUCUGGGCCGAUACUGACGCUGAGGAGCGAAAGCGUGGGGAGCGAACAGGAUUAGAUACCCUG